UACGAAGGGGGCUAGCGUUGUUCGGAAUUACUGGGCGUAAAGGGCGCGUAGGCGGUGUGUCAAGUCAGGCGUGAAAGCCCCGGGCUCAACCUGGGAACCGCGCUUGAGACUGGCACGCUCGAGUUCGGGAGAGGAUGGUGGAAUUCCCAGUGUAGAGGUGAAAUUCGUAGAUAUUGGGAAGAACACCGGUGGCAAAGGCGGCGACCUGGUCCGAUACUGACGCUGAGGCGCGAAAGCGUGGGGAGCAAACAGG
Molecule: ribosomal RNA, 253 nt
Filed under: uncultured bacterium
Lineage: Bacteria
Description: partial 16S ribosomal RNA
Rfam family: Bacterial small subunit ribosomal RNA
Source: RNAcentral